UACGGAGGGAGCUAGCGUUGUUCGGAAUUACUGGGCGUAAAGCGCGCGUAGGCGGUGACUCAAGUCAGAGGUGAAAGCCCGGGGCUCAACCCCCGGAACGUAGCCUUUGUAAACUAAGGUCGCUAGAAUCUUGGAGAGGUCAGUGGAAUUCCGAGUGUAGAGGUGGAAAUUACGUAGAUAUUCGGAAGAACACCAGUGGCGAAGGCGACUGACUGGACAAGUAUUGACGCUGAGGUGCGAAAGUAGUGGGGAGCAAACAGGAUUAGAUACCCGCGUAGU
This 279-nucleotide ribosomal RNA is filed under the name uncultured bacterium. RNAcentral's name for it is "partial 16S ribosomal RNA". It matches the Rfam family "Bacterial small subunit ribosomal RNA", at positions 524 to 794 of the family's 1533-position model. The record is from RNAcentral.